This 460-nucleotide ribosomal RNA is filed under the name uncultured bacterium. RNAcentral describes it as "partial 16S ribosomal RNA". It matches the Rfam family "Bacterial small subunit ribosomal RNA", at positions 28 to 507 of the family's 1533-position model. The record is from RNAcentral.
GAUGAACGCUGGCGGCAUGCCUAACACAUGCAAGUCGGACGGGAAGUGGUGUUUCCCGUGGCGGUCGGGUGAGCAACGCGUAAGAACCUGCCCUUGGGAGGGGAACAACAUCUGGAAACGGCUGCUAAUACCCCGUAGGCUGAGUAGCAAAAGGAGGAAUCCGCCGGAGGAGGCGCUCGCGCCUGAUUAGAUAGUUGGUGAGGCAAUGGUUUACCAAGUCGAUGAGCAGUAGCUGACCAGAGAGAACGAUCGGCCACGCUGGAACUGGGACACGGGCCAGACUGGGACGGGAAGACGGAGCAGGGUACUUCGGGCAACAGGAGUGAGGAAGUUUCAGCAAUGCGGGAUGGGCUGAGAGGGCAAUGCGGUGUGAAAGUAGAAGGGCUACGGAUGAAGAACUUCUUUUCCCAGAGAAGAAACAAUGACGGUAUCUAAGGAAUAAGCAUCGGCUAACUCUGUG